UUAGUACUCACUCCGUCCAGAAAAGGUUGUCUGAAAUUUGUUUAAAUUUGGAUGUAUCUAGAUACUAAAAUAUGUCUACAUACAUCUAUAUUUUGAAAAAUUUGCGACAUCCUUUUUAGGACGGAGGGAGUAGUAA
Molecule: non-coding RNA, 136 nt
Organism: Brachypodium distachyon (stiff brome)
Lineage: Eukaryota; Viridiplantae; Streptophyta; Magnoliopsida; Poales; Poaceae
Source: Rfam